RNAcentral lists this ribosomal RNA (431 nucleotides) under uncultured bacterium. Its description in RNAcentral is "partial 16S ribosomal RNA". It matches the Rfam family "Bacterial small subunit ribosomal RNA", at positions 29 to 506 of the family's 1533-position model. The record is from RNAcentral.
ACGAACGCUGGCGGCAUGCCUAACACAUGCAAGUCGAACGAGACCUUCGGGUCUAGUGGCGCACGGGUGCGUAACGCGUGGGAAUCUACCCUCAGGUUCGGAAUAACUCAGAGAAAUUUGAGCUAAUACCGGAUGAUGACGUAAGUCCAAAGAUUUAUCGCCUGAGGAUGAGCCCGCUUAGGAUUAGGUAGUUGGUGAGGUAAAGGCUCACCAAGCCGACGAUCCUUAGCUGGUCUGAGAGGAUGAUCAGCCACACUGGGACUGAGACACGGCCCAGACUCCUACGGGAGGCAGCAGUGGGGAAUAUUGGACAAUGGGCGAAAGCCUGAUCCAGCAAUGCCGCGCGAGUGAUGAAGGCCUUAGGGUUGUAAAGCUCUUUUACCCGGGAUGAUAAUGACAGUACCGGGAGAAUAAGCUCCGGCUAACUCCGU